ACGGGUGAGGAACACGUACACAACUUCCCUCUUGCUGGGGCACAACUCCGAGAAAUCGGGGCUAAUUCCCCAUAAAAAUUUGAUCCGGCAUCGGGAAAAAUUUAAAACUCAGGUGGUAAGAGAUGGGUGUGCGUCUGAUUAGCUAGUUGGUGAGGUAACGGCCCACCAAGGCGACGAUCAGUAACUGGUGUGAGAGCACGACCAGUCACACGGGCACUGAGAUACGGGCCCG
Molecule: ribosomal RNA, 232 nt
Filed under: uncultured bacterium
Lineage: Bacteria
Description: partial 16S ribosomal RNA
Rfam family: Bacterial small subunit ribosomal RNA
Source: RNAcentral